GGUGGGCGACGACCGGCGCACGGGUGAGUAACGUUUAUCUACCCUGCCCAUAACUAAGGGAUAAUCCGUACAAAUGCGGUCUAAUACCUUAUGUGUUCCGACGAAGACAUCUGAAUUGGAAUAAAGAUUUAUCGGUUAUGGAUGGGGAUGCGUCUGAUUAGAUUGUUGGCGGGGCAACGGCCCACCAAGUCUACGAUCAGUAGGGGUUCUGAGAGGAAGGUCCCCCACAUUGGAACUGAGACACGGUCCAAACUCCUACGGGAGGCAGCAGUGAGGAAUAUUGGUCAAUGGGCGAGAGCCUGAACCAGCCAAGUAGCGUGCAGGAUGACGGCCCUAUGGGUUGUAAACUGCUUUUGUAUGGGAAUAAAGUGCUCCACGUGUGGAGUUUUGUAGGUACCAUACGAAUAAGGACCGGCUAAUUCCGUGCCAGCAGCCGCGGUAAUACGGAAGGUCCGGGCGUUAUCCGGAUUUAUUGGGUUUAAAGGGAGCGUAGGCCGUGGAUUAAGUGUGUUGUGAAAUGUAGGCGCUCAACGUCUGACUUGCAGCGCAUACUGGUCCACUUGAGUGCGCGCAACGCGGGCGGAAUUUGUCGUGUAGCGGUGAAAUGCUUAGAUAUGACGAAGAACCCCGAUUGCGAAGGCAGCUCGCGGGAGCGCAACUGACGCUGAAGCUCGAAAGUGCGGGUAUCGAACAGGAUUAGAUACCCUGGUAGUCCGCACGGUAAACG
This 727-nucleotide ribosomal RNA is filed under the name uncultured bacterium. RNAcentral describes it as "bacterial SSU rRNA". It matches the Rfam family "Bacterial small subunit ribosomal RNA", at positions 83 to 808 of the family's 1533-position model. The record is from RNAcentral.